GCCGCCUUCCAGGAUACGUUCAGCAGGACUGAGGACAAGGGAGUCAAUACCCAGGCUUCUGAGGGAGUCAGACUCAGCCAGGCAGAGGACACUGUGAGGCUAGCACUCUGUCAGCACAGGUCCGGGUCCUAGGUAGCUUCGAAGCAUCUCCAGGGAACAUGGAACUGUGAGAGGAGUGGGCAGAGGAGAGGCUGAUCAGGCACAGCACGGUCACGAUUGAAGAGCUUUUCCUGAUCUGCUGCCAACAGGGACGAAAGGCUCCUCCUUCAUCAUGGAGACGGGGCUCUGGGAGCAGGCCAGCCAGGGAACAUCUCUGUAACUGGCUAUGUCUGCCAGGGGCUCUGGGGAGCAGGCUGGCCAAGGAACAUGGUUGUAAAUGUGCGUGCCUACCUGUCAAGCUCAGAUGACAACCUGCUAGGCCAGGGAGCCCUCGCCAUGAGAGGGAGGCAGAGAUGGUGUCUGGACCUUCGGGAACUCUGAGGUCACCCAUGUACUCUUUGUUUGACACACAAAAGGAACCAAGGCAUCAAACGCAGCUCUUGGUUCUCCUCGAAGCCCAACUCCUCCACAAGCACCAGUACAGGACUGCACAGAGGUGCAGGGUCACCCCUUCCCUGGCUGAUGGCCAAUGGGCCACCAAAUGCAGGGGCGAGGCCACCCAGCCCCACCAGCCCACCUGCUGACCUCAGACAAAGAAGCAGUUCCAGCCAACUCCAGCCAAGCAGGGACCAGAGCAGCCCAACAGCCAGCCGACCCAUGGUCUCGAAACAGCAGGAAACACCUGUGGGUUUAAGGCGCUGACACCAAUAGCAGGUGCAGUCAAUCAAUCAACAGGCAUUCAUUUGACCAGUGAUGCCCUGAGCGUGAGGCCAGACAUGGGACUGCAGAGAAUGCCAGGACACGGAACAGAAACCCCAGCCCACCUACCAUGCAUGGCCACCGGCAUCUCCCUGUCACCAGUGCUGGGUAAUAUUCCAUCGUCUGGAGGUGUCGCAGUUUACUCAUCCAUUCACCUGCUGAGGGGCAUCCUGGUUGCUUCCACGGUUGUGGAUAAAGCUGCGAUCGACAUGCACGUGCAGGUUUUUGUGUGGACAGAAGUUUUCAGCUCAUUUGGGUAAACACCAAGGAGUAUAAUUGCUGAACCAUAUGCAAGUGUGCCUGUUGCCUUGAGUUUGCAAGAUAGCUGAUCCUCUUCCAGUCAUGACAUCCUUCAGGAAGAAGGGGAAUGACACAGGCUUCCUCUGAAGGCUGCUCUGUCUUCUGACUCCACAAAGGAAGCACUGCCCAGCACAUCUCCUCCUGCAUCUCAGCCAAAACUAGGCCAUGCGCCCUCCAAAGACCAAUCUCUCUCCAGGAGCAAUGAAACGCAUGUAGCUGUCUUUGAUCCGCACGCCUCCUCCCCUGGUGGGGGUGGGCCAUGUCCCACCUGGAUCUCACAUCCCUAACUGCAACCUAAAGACAAGAACUCCAUCAGCUGGGGGCGAGGGUAGGGUGCUGUGUGCAAUGGGCUGACUACUAAGGAGGCCAUGGAGGGCGGCAGCUUCACCCUCCAAAGUUUAAUCACCCUGAAGUGCCAAUACCUGAAAAUA
Molecule: long non-coding RNA, 1589 nt
Organism: Homo sapiens (human)
Lineage: Eukaryota; Metazoa; Chordata; Mammalia; Primates; Hominidae
Exons: 4
Source: RefSeq, a predicted model, not a curated record